CAGCAACACACUGUUUCAGCUACUGGCUCAGAUUCUCUGACUGGUUUUAAAGAUAAGGUGAACUAAAACCAUAGCAAGCUGGAUCCUUUCUAUCCAAGAGGAUUUUGAUGAAAUUGUUCUAAUUUACUACUGAAUCUAUGAGAUCCACUGCAUUCUUCCACAAAAAUAUAUAUGGGGCUGCUCAUUCUACUGAUUUGAUUGUUCACAUUAUGGUGUUGUAUUUUGUGAAGUCCAUCUCUGGGAGUCCUUCUGCUAAAAGCAAGGAAGAGUAUUCUACUCUUGUUAUCAAAAAGAUAGUAAGAGCAACACAAACCCACCAAACCAACCCUUACAUUGAUC
This 339-nucleotide long non-coding RNA is filed under the name Phasianus colchicus (ring-necked pheasant). RNAcentral describes it as "lncRNA (ENSPCLG00000000520.1)". Lineage: Eukaryota; Metazoa; Chordata; Aves; Galliformes; Phasianidae. The record is from RNAcentral.